UUUCAAUGCUCAGGUUUCCAGUUUUCUAAAUACCGAAGUCAUUCCUCUUAAACAGUUUUCUUUCUUUUGCUCCUUGAAACUAAACGCAGUUCAGUUAUUUGAUUAGUGGAUGCUAGCAUUUGACCUGGAGCUUAUAUAAUUAGAAGAGACACUAGUUUUCCUCAUUUAAAAGCCUAGUUAGCAUAUGACAGUCUCCUUUCCGGGGAAGUCAAACCUCUCUACUGCUUCUUUUUAUAACCUUUAAGUUAAUUCAGAAUCCAGAAAGCCUUGAUCUGAGGAUGAUAUAACCACAGCAAGCAACAUGGGAACCUCUAAAGAAAUUAGGAAGACUUCACAAGACAUGGUGUGAUGCCUACUGGGGGAGACAGGCCAUGAGGUCCAGGGAAGAGGGGGUGGCCUGAUCCAGGGACGAUGAAGAUGCAACGUUGAAGAAUAAGGUGGAGGAAAGAAGAAACAGGCA
This is a non-coding RNA of Ceratotherium simum simum (southern white rhinoceros), 460 nucleotides long. Lineage: Eukaryota; Metazoa; Chordata; Mammalia; Perissodactyla; Rhinocerotidae. The record is from RefSeq and is a predicted model, not a curated record.